This 429-nucleotide ribosomal RNA is filed under the name Bacteroidota bacterium. Its description in RNAcentral is "Bacteroidetes bacterium partial 16S ribosomal RNA". It matches the Rfam family "Bacterial small subunit ribosomal RNA", at positions 355 to 776 of the family's 1533-position model. Lineage: Bacteria; Pseudomonadati; Bacteroidota. The record is from RNAcentral.
UAGGGAAUCUUCCGCAAUGGACGCAAGUCUGACGGAGCAACGCCGCGUGAGUGAAGAAGGAUUUCGGUUCGUAAAACUCUGUUGUUAGAGAAGAACAGCGCAUAGAGUAACUGUUAUGCGUGUGACGGUAUCUAACCAGAAAGCCACGGCUAACUACGUGCCAGCAGCCGCGGUAAUACGUAGGUGGCAAGCGUUGUCCGGAUUUAUUGGGCGUAAAGCGAGCGCAGGCGGUCAAUUAAGUCUGAUGUGAAAGCCCCCGGCUCAACCGGGGAGGGUCAUUGGAAACUGGUUGACUUGAGUGCAGAAGAGGAGAGGGGAAUUCCAUGUGUAGCGGUGAAAUGCGUAGAUAUAUGGAGGAACACCAGUGGCGAAGGCGACUCUCUGGUCUGUGACUGACGCUGAGGCUCGAAAGCGUGGGUAGCAAACAGG